UCCUACGGGAGGCAGCAGUGGGGAAUAUUGCACAAUGGGCGAAAGCCUGAUGCAGCGACGCCGCGUGAGCGAAGAAGUAUUUCGGUAUGUAAAGCUCUAUCAGCAGGGAAGAUAAUGACGGUACCU
RNAcentral lists this ribosomal RNA (126 nucleotides) under uncultured Eubacterium sp. Its description in RNAcentral is "partial 16S ribosomal RNA". It matches the Rfam family "Bacterial small subunit ribosomal RNA", at positions 337 to 480 of the family's 1533-position model. Lineage: Bacteria; Bacillati; Bacillota; Clostridia; Eubacteriales; Eubacteriaceae. The record is from RNAcentral.